ACGUACGCUGGCGGCACGCCUAACACAUGCAAGUCGAACGCAGUAGCAAUACUGAGUGGCGAACGGGUGAGUAUAAUGUGGGUAUCUGCCUUUUGGUUUGGAAUAACACGGGGAAACUUGUGCUAAUACCGGAUAAGCCUUCACAGGGAAAGUUUUAACGCCAAAAGAUGAGCCCGCACUUGAUUAGCUAGUUGGUAGGGUAAUGGCCUACCAAGACUAUGAUCAAUAGCUGAUUUGAGAGGAUGAUCAGCCACAUUGGGACUGAGACACGGCCCAAACUCCUACGGGAGGCAGCAGUGGGGAAUCUUGCACAAUGGAGGAAACUCUGAUGCAGCGAUGCCGCGUGAGUGAAGAAGGCCUUUGGGUUGUAAAGCUCUUUCGUCGGGGAAGAAAAUGACUGUACCCGAAUAAGAAGGUCCGGCUAACUUCGUGCCAGCAGCCGCGGUAAUACGAAGGGACCUAGCGUAGUUCGGAAUUACUGGGCUUAAAGAGUUCGUAGGUGGUUGAAAAAGUUGGUGGUGAAAUCCCAGAGCUUAACUCUGGAACUGCCAUCAAAACUUUUCAGCUAGAGUAUGAUAGAGGAAAGCAGAAUUUCUAGUGUAGAGGUGAAAUUCGUAGAUAUUAGAAAGAAUACCAAUUGCGAAGGCAGCUUUCUGGAUCAUUACUGACACUGAGGAACGAAAGCAUGGGUAGCGAAGAGGAUUAGAUACCCUCGUAGUCCAUGCCGUAAACGAUGUGUGUUAGACGUUGGAAAUUUAUUUUCAGUGUCGCAGGGAAACCGAUAAACACACCGCCUGGGGAGUACGACCGCAAGGUUAAAACUCAAAUGAAUUGACGGGGACCCGCACAAGUAGUGGAGCAUGUGGUUUAAUUCGAAGAUACGCGCAGAACCUUACCAACACUUGACAUGUUCGUCGCGACUCUAAGAGAUUAGAGUUUUCGGUUCGGCCGGACGAAACACAGGUGCUGCAUGGCUGUCGUCAGCUCGUGUCGUGAGAUGUUGGGUUAAGUCCCGCAACGAGCGCAACCCUCACUUUUAGUUGCCAUCAUUAAGUUGGGCACUCUGAAAGAACUGCCAGUGAUAAGCUGGAGGAAGGUGGGGAUGACGUCAAGUCCUCAUGGCCCUUACGUGUUGGGCUACACACGUGCUACAAUGGCAUCUACAACAGGAAGCAAAACGGCAACGUUAAGCAAAUCCCGAAAAGAUGCCUCAGUUCGGAUUGCACUCUGCAACUCGAGUGCAUGAAGCUGGAAUUACUAGUAAUCGUGGAUCAGCGUGCCACGGUGAAUGCGUUCCCGGGUCUUGUACACACCGC
Molecule: ribosomal RNA, 1316 nt
Filed under: uncultured marine bacterium
Lineage: Bacteria
Description: partial 16S ribosomal RNA
Rfam family: Bacterial small subunit ribosomal RNA
Source: RNAcentral